Hordeum vulgare subsp. vulgare (domesticated barley) is the source of this 1247-nucleotide long non-coding RNA. RefSeq lists it as uncharacterized. Lineage: Eukaryota; Viridiplantae; Streptophyta; Magnoliopsida; Poales; Poaceae. The record is from RefSeq and is a predicted model, not a curated record. The transcript has 2 exons.
GAUGUGUCCCAUCCACCCGCAGCCUCCCCCUCCAGUCCCCUCCUUCCUAGGAGAUCUGUCCCAUCCACCCACCUCCUUGAUUUGCCAACUGAGCCAACUAGCACGCCGCCGCACACCUCUCCGUGAUCCCCUCGUCCCUGGCCUGCUCGAGUAGUCAAUGGUUGGCUACCGCGACGAGCCUGCUGCCCUUGGAUGUGUCCAGCGCCCGCAGAGGCAGUCGCCCGAAUAGCUUCCGCUCCUCAAGCCGGAGCUAGAAUCGCCCGCCGCCGCGCACUCAAGCCGAUCGUGUUGUUGCCAGUGCUACUCCAGGCCGUCCCCGCAUCGCCUCUAGCCAACAGCAACGCCAAGGCUAUCAUCUGAGGAGCUCGAAGCUGCCGCCGUGGAGACCGGCGCCCCUGUCGUUCCGUGCGUUUCCUUCAUCGGACUAGCGCUAUGCCCGUCGUGGCCUUGCUCCUCGCCCUAUCCAGCGUCACGCCCGUCCGUGCCAGAGCUCGAGGCAGCCACCUCCUCUACUUCGCCCCCCUAGAGCAAGCCAGCACGGGAUGAGCUCCUCAACCGCGCCAGCCAGCGAACCCGCGCCCUGCUCAUGCGCGCGCCCCAGUUGUUGGACUAGCAGAUGAGCACCGUCGCUUUCCUCUUCCCUUCCCUUGUACUUCCUUCUCUCUAAUCCAUCUCUCUCUCUUUGUGGUGUACCAGGGGAAACAGCCGCAUCCGAUGCCAGCUCCGUCUCCGGUGGUGGAGCUCCGCCCCAUCGUCCCGUCGCCCGCCCGUGUUCUCGUCAAGCAAUUGGACCCCUCCCUCCAUGUGCCCUCCACCGUGGAGCUCCACCUCUGAGGGAUUCUAGCUCCGGCUUGAGGAGCGGAAGCUACUUUGUUUUGCACCCACACCUGCACCCUGAUGUAGUUAUGAUAAAUCUAACUAAGAUCCCAAAUUAUAUCACAAAUAGUGUGUAGCCGAGUUGUCUAGAGCAUUCGGGCUCCACCGCGAGGUCCUAGGUUUGAAUCCAAUGCACCCUGCAUUUUCAUUUGUUUUGGUUGUCUCGGUUUAUACGGCGUGUGGUUUAUAUAGGACCGAAUCCACCUUGUAUCGUGUGUCUACAUUCCAGUGGGCCAUCAUCCUAGAGGUCCACGGAUCAAAUCCCCAUGGCCUCUCUUUUAUUUUCACCCUAUGUAUUUAUUUUUCUUUUGCAUGCAUGUUGCAUCCGUGUCAUAUGAUUUUGUGUGGCCUGUGUCUCUUAAGACAUGCUA